UUAAGGCAAGAAAAGAGUUCAUUUAGAAUUCGUCCCUCAAGAGUUUAAAAAAGAGUUUAAAAAAGAGCGAUUCCAAGAAUUUGACUUACAGUCCACUAUUCAAGUACUAAAAAUAUCCAGAUAAUGGUCAAACAUCCAAAUAAUCAACUAUUCGAAUCAUUCGCCGAAUAUUUGACAAAAAUUCGACAAAUAGUCCUAGCCCUAGUUUAUAGUUUAUUGUUAGUAUCCGAGAAACACGUUGUGCAUGGAUACUUGGUUAGACGUGAGCUAAUACUCGAGAGCAUGAAAUUUUGUCCUUGAGGUUAUCACGUAGUUAUUUCCACCACUUACUGCAAUUCGUACAAAUUUUAUUGAUCAUUCAUGUCGCCUAUGUGAAUUAUUACGUUUACACGUAAAUAGUGAUGAUAAUGCUAAUCGUUACAAUCGAAGCAAAAGAAAUGAUACAAAACGCGAUAAUGGUAUUACUAGUAGUAAAUGUAUACGUUUUGGUGACAAUUAUCCAAGUAAUAGUAAUUAGUUUACAGUUUCGUUAUAAAAUACUCUGUUUUCCAAAGAAUAUUAUUUCUAAUUUUUUACUGUAAUAUGUAGUAAAUGCUAAAAUUGCAUACUUUAUGCAUAUUUCCACAUUAAUUUAUUUAUUAUAAUCGUAAUGGUAUAAAACCCAAGUAUUGCUGUUAUCUGGAUAACUAUCACUACAUUACUCGUAUAUCUGGGUAUACUAAGAGCUCUCGAGUAUUAACACACCUCUAUGCGUUAUGUUUAACCGUUCGAUCGUGGAUGAGCAGCCCUUAUUUGCUAAAUACUUUCUAACUCGUUCAAUACUCUUAUCCGGUGGAUUAUAAUGCUACUUUUUGAAAAAGCAUUCGAUUCUAGAUACAUAUACAAAUUCUCAAUAAAAUCCAUAUAUAAAAUGAUCGCGUAUUUCACAUUUUAUUCUGUCUUAAUUUUGGCGCUGCUCAACAAAACGACGACUGCAGUCAAACGGUUAAGCCAGUGAUUCUUAACCUCCGUGCCGUGAAGUUGGCAAUACUGUGCCGUGAAUGUUUGCCAAAAGAUCAAAUAAAUUCUUAUUUUUUACAAUUUUCUUUUUUUUUUUAAUUUUUCUUAUAAUCAUUUACGAUUAAAAACUGUACCAGGAUCAUUCCUUUGUAAACUGUGCCAUGAGCGUGAAAUUAUUAUUUUCCUCUAAAGCAACGAUGGCAAACGGAGAGUCAUUUUCCGUGCCAAAAUUAGGAAAAUCAGGCAACGUUCUCAUAACGCCGUGCCAAUAUACUAUUUUAAUAAAUUAGUUACCCGAAUGAAACAUAAAAUAUUCACAUUUGCGAUUUCAGUUUUCGUGUCUAUCAUCUGCACCAUAUAAAUGCGUAAAACGCUUAACUAUUACACGUAAACUUUCUUAUGGGUAUUAAUCGCUUACUUGAUUCUUUCAUCAAAAUUUUUGUUGAUAUCCGUUUAUAUGAAAAAUACGUUGCGAAUUGAAAAUACGACGGUCACCUUUUCAUUUACUGCAAAAUACAGUCGUGAAAGUGUCUAGUCUAAACCAAAUAAAGAUAUAAAUUUAAUAAAGUGCAAAUUUACUAUGAAAGUUCUGGAGUACCAGUAAAAUUCUAUCGCUUAUCAAAAUUCGUCUUUCGUUUGCCAUUACUGUUUUCAACUGUGCCGUAUGCUUGAGAAGGUUAAGAAACACUGGGUGCAAACGAAGGUAAACAAAGCACGAGUGUCUCGCGAGAUGUCCUUGCGAAAGUCACUGGCCAAGCUUGUAUAUACGAUAGUUAACGCGUAAGGGAAUCGAUCAAGAUGUAUAUAUACAGUGGGUGUAGAAAGUGUUCGUACACCGAUCAAUUUCCAAAAAAACCUGUGUAAAAUUGUAACCUAUUAACUUAUUUUUUAUAAACAAUGACAUUCUACAUGUUCUAGGAAAUUUCUAGAAUAGAUAGAUUACAAAAAAAAAAAUAGCUAUUUAUGUAAGUUGCGAAAUUAAGAAGAAAAAAAUAAUUAAUCGAUAGAAAUGUUGAAGCAAUAAGUAUUCGCACAACUGUUAAAAGUAUUUCCCUGGAAAUUUGAUGUUUUCUAAUCAUGGUUUGAAUAAUAAUCAAUUACAAUUUUUAAUUAAAUAAUUGAUUUAAACAAAUUUAAUUAAAUCAACUUAAUAAAUAUUUUGAAUAAAUGUAAUUACAAAUUAUUUAAUUAAAAUUGAAUUAAGCAGAGUUAAUCGAAAGUCGUUUAAUUGGCGAUUGAUAUGAGCGAAUUUAAUCGAAGAUAUUUAAUUGACGAUUGAUAUGAGCAGAAUUAAUUAAAAGCCAUUUUCUUGACGAUUACUUUAAACAGAAUUAAUUGAAAUCCAUUCAAUUGACGAUUAAUUUAAGCAGAAUUAAUUCAAAGGCAUUUAAUUCACGAUUACUUUAAGCAGAAUGAAUUCAAGCUAUUUAAUUGACGAUUUGUUUAUAUCUUCAAUGUUAAGAGAGAUUUAUAUAAAAUUCAAUUAAUUAUAUAAGUAACACAUAUAAAUAAACAUAUAUAUAUAUAAACCAAUUUGUAGCGACAAAUGCAAUAUAUUAAAUACUAUUAACCUCAUCAAAAUGAGUUGCUUGUAUAUAGAAUAAUGUAUUUGUUAAAGUAAUAUACUAAAAACAUAAAGCAGUUCAGCUAAUUUGGUAUUACCGGCAUAACCCUUUCUGUACGAGCGCCGGAUAUAUCUGGCAUCCAUCUAAUAAACUUAUAUGUGUUACUUAUACAAUUAAUUAAAUUUUAUGUAAAUCUCUUUUAACAUUGAAGAUAUAAACAAAUCGUCAAUUAAAUAGCUUGAAUUAAUUCUGCUUAAAGUAAUCGUCAAGUAAAUGGCUUUGAAUUAAUUCUGCUUAAUUCAAUUUUAAUGAAAUAAUUUUUAAUUAAAUCGUUUGUAAUUAAUUGUCAAUUAAAGACGGAAAUUAAUUUUAAAAGUAAUUAAUUGUUCCCAACCCUGUUUCUAAUUCGCACGGAGCAAUAAACUAAUGUGUUUACGUUACAAACUCUGCUGUAAAUGGUUCCUCAUAAGAAUCGUACCAAUACUUAUUGCUCCUAUACUUUUACCCACUUUACGCAUUUUUUUGUUAAUUUCACAAAUUAUAUCAACUAGUAAAUGUUGUUUGGGCUAUAUCUAUCUCAGAGACUUCCGAGAAUAUGUAAAAUAUCAUUGAUUAUAAAAAAGGAAGUUAAGAAACUACAAUUUCACACAAAAUUUUUUGGAGAAAUUGAUCGGUGUACGAAUACUUUCUACACCCACUGUAUAUCAUCAAUAUGUAUCAUAUCAGUCCUGUCACUAAUUGUAACUCGUAAUCUAUCAUAGGGCAACGUAAUACGCUAAGAAAUCUGGGUAAAUCGAGCUCGGUCGUUGCACUUUAGAAGAGGGGGUAAAUAGCAAUAACAGAAACGCCAGAAACAAUAAAACAUUUCUCUGCGGGAACAACAUCGAUCGAUGCCGCUUAGACGACAAUUUCGAUCCUUUUCAUCCGUCGAUGAUCUAUUAUCGUCGCAGCGGCGUGCGAGACGACGUAGACGAUAGUAAUCGUGUAAUAUCUCUUCCGCUGAUCGUUGUUUUACGUUAAACGAAUCGGAUGAACCUUUUCACUUGGGACAAGUUUUCGUAAAUCGUAGCUAUAUCGUAUAAACAAAGAAGGAAGUGUAAUUGUGUGUAUGUGUAUUAUUCAUUGCGGUUAAAGACGAAGUAAACAAUAGAACGUCCCAUUGGCCGUCCGCGUCGACACAUUGGGUGCAUCCCGAAAGGUCACCGCUCCCUAAAGGUGAGGUCCCAUCUAUCUGACGAGCGUGCUCGAGCAAUAAAUUGUCCGUGCUCGCCGGAUUUUGUUCGAAAACACGUUCCUACUAGCGAGCAAAAGGUCGCUAAAUGCGACGACGAACAGUUGGAACCACUUGAAAGGAUCGAUUUUUACGAGCGUUUGGGUCUCCGUCCACGGACUAGGCUCGCGAACACGGGGGACUAUUCCACGCGAGCCUGGAUCGAACGCUCAAAAAAAUCGAAAAACCCUUUCGAGUGGUUCGAAGCGAGACCCCCAAUGCUUGUUUUCACCGAGGCCGUAAGCGCCUACCUUGGUUCGCUCAAGGGUCUGGGGUCAAACGGGCGAUCGAUCAAUCAGUUUUUGAUACAAUCGAAUUCUUUAUUCAUCGUAUCAACGUGAACGCGAUGCCAUUGGAUUCUUGGUGUUCUCCCGAUGAAAAUGAUAUCUCACGUCGCGUAAAUCGAACUACUUUUAACGAAAUAACUUUUCAAUUAUGCAAUCAGAUUUUCCAUAUAAUUUCGUUAAAAAUAGUCCGAUUUACGCGAUGUGAGAUAUCAUUUUGAUCGCAGAAGCAUCAGAAAUCGAUUGAAAUCACUUCCGCAAAGUUCCGAUAAAAAUUGUCGAGGUUGGUAUUUUCAAUUCUUUAUGACAUCCCCUUGUCGACCACCCUUUGCGAUGAUGGUGCGUGGCCUUUGUUGAGAUUCCGUGCUCGUUUAGGUGUUCGCGGCUCGUUGUGCCAGCUCGCCUGUGUCCAUCAGACCCUCCUGCGCGACGAGUUGACACUUUCAAGUGGACGUUGCUCGUGCUCGCCGCCCGAACUUACAUACACGGGACCUCACCUUAACAAUGUUUGGUUGCGAACAACUUUUAAGUUGAUCCGCUCGUAGAACGGUUCAAUGAACGAGCGAGCUUCGCAACCUUUAACAACCAAACAUGGUGAUCGCACCCUGGUAGCAACCAAUAGCUGAAAAGAUCGGUGUUGUCAUGUUUGGGAGCGAAAAAUGGUUAAGCUCAUCCGCUCACUGAGCCACUUGUGAGCUUAAAAAUGUUUCGCAACCAAAUCUAUUGACCGCUACCAUAUGAUAGCAGCCUAUGUAUUGCCUUGGUAUUUUUCUUAUCCAACGUUGUAUAAUGGGAUUCACGAUGUAGAAGCACGAAACAUAAAACGUGACGAUUAAACAAUUGAUGACGAAGCUUCCAUUAAAUAAUUGCUGCAGAAAUGAAUAGAAAAUCUUUUUUAAUAGAAUAUUUUACUGGUGACGCGACCACGUCUCCAGAAUCUUAAUUUUGGGAAUUAUCCAAUCGGGGUGUAACUGCCAAUACGGCUUUGUCACAGUCGCGUGAUUUUGUUUAUCGUUUUACAUUGUUAUUCGAACGUGUAAUAGACAACGUGUCCCGUAGUUCAGGAGCCAUUUUCGCUUCCAAUAACCGCGUUGUUGAUAAAAUAGUAUAGUAUACGCAUCUCGAUUACGUUAAUAAUAAAUAAUUAAUGUAAAGCUGUCGAGUAGCGAUGGGACUGAAAUGUGCUUAAAUACUAGCGAUACGUUGACGUCAGAAAUUGAUUGUAUCGCGUCGGUUCACCGAAUGGGACUAUUACAAACGAUUUGGAAUUUAUCGAGAUGUACAAUUGUCGUAUCGAUACGUAUCGAUUACAUCAAAAAAGUACUCCUUUACGAUGAUUACCAGAAACAAACCAAAUAAUGCGUUCAAAACCAACUGGCUGAUAAUAAACAUUUCUGUAAAUUCCUAUUCAAAAUUAAAAUAUUUCAUUAUAUCUUCAGUGAGAAUAUCGUCAGUGGUUUGCUGGCUGUUUCCUGGUGAAAAUGAGUUCAAACACGAUCCCAUUUGGAGUACAUUUAGUUAUACAUAUAAAAAAUGAUCACUUGCAUUAACGAGAAUGACGUAUAAUUAAGAAUAAUCCAAAUGUGCUUGCGUUUGGUCUUACUCACUUCGACAAAUAUUAAUUGUCCGCAUUAAUUAUUUCCAUGAAACUGUUUAACUCGAAAUAUUACGUAGAUAAAAAUUGAUUCGAAGAUAUUCUAAUUAUGCCCGACUGUGAUACUAAAACACAUCGUUGUCUCGUCGAGGUCUCGAUGAUAUUUGAUGUUUGAAUCGUAUCGAUACCGCAAGAAUUGUCAACAAGUAUACCUUACUAAUCGACCUUACUAUCGAUACCGUCGAGCCAGUGUCCGGGGAUCGAUAAGUAUCGAUGUUAACGCGUACGUCAUAGGAUCUACCGAUACUAUCGGGCCCAUCGCUACUGUUGAGUCAAAAGAAAACAAAAUGCAGUUAUGUGAUAAGCGAGAUCUCCGUUCUCGAACGUCUUCCCUGAUUUCCUUGUUUUAGUUGGCUGAGGCAGGUUAUCGUCGAAUUAUUCUACACGUACACCAACUCGCUCACGUAUACACAUACACGAGUACACUAUUGGUCUAUAAAUGGGUUGGUAAAAGCGGAAAAUAGAAGAACAAUGUGAAAGAUCGAUUGGCUUCGUUAGGGAGUAAGUAUAAGCGUAAGAUCUUUUAUUGCUAAUAAUUUUUCCUCAGGUCAAGUCUUGAACGGUGCCUAAAACCCUUUGAUUUAAGGAACAAAUGAAAAAAAGAAAAAGAGCAAGUUCUGAAUUACGUGUCGAUGAACUUUUCUUAUAUAGAGAGGGCGGUUCGUUGUAAUCGAAUUUUCGCAGUGUGGUAGUUCGCGUUCGUCCUCGACAGAGAGGGAGGGAGGGAGGGAGGGAGAGAGAAAAAAAAUAAAUUAAAAAAUACACGAGAAGGGAAGGGUAUAUAAAAAUGAAAUAAUCAUUGGAGGAACAAAAGAUUCUGAUACGAUACGACGAUAAUGAUAAGAUAUACCUAUAUACAUACCGUCGAUGCGUAGAAAGUACUGUGUCAUAUACGUAUAUGAUACAUAUAAAUAUAUAUACAUAUAUACACAAAUACACACACACACAAAACACACAAACACACACGCGCGCGCGUGUGUUGUAUGCAAGGGUACGAACGAGUUUGUGUGAGUGCGCGCGAACGAUGCGUGGGUGCUUGUUGUGCGCGCAUGUGCGUAUAACAUUAAAGAAGAGGAUUAAUCGUAGUGCUCCGUUUAAGGAAAGCGUACAGGAUGCAAUGAAAAUUGCGUUGCAACUGGUGAUAACAUUACAUUUUCUUAAAUGAAAAAUAAAUCUAGGUCGUAGAAACAUAAUUGUUUCAUUUAAAGUCUCGUUAAAAAUGGUCGUGAACUCGGCUUGGUUUUGACUUCCGAUAAGAAUGCAAUAAAAAGAAAAAUGGUAACGUCCAAUCAAGUAUGCCACCAUGUCGCCGACUAAAAGUAUCGAAGAUUUGUCUCGAUUAACACGUUGACCAUCGUCGUGUGCAUCGUGUUUCAUACACCGGACACGAGUUAUAAUACUCUGCCUCGAUUGUCGCGAGUGACACGCUGCGAAAUUAUAUUGCUAUGUUUUUAACGCACUACAUUGCGGUAGCUAUUAAGUUUUUUCCCUUUUUCUUUUUAUCGAAAAUUCAAACAUAAAUAUGGGAAUAAAUGGAAAUAAUUAUUAAGCGUAGACAUUAAUUCUGUGCCUCUAUAUAUAAUUAUUUGUAACUCUGGUCCAAAUAGAUAUACUUACUCGUAAUUUUGGUACAUUCAAGUACCUACCUUCUAAAUCCUCAACCUGAUGUUAUUCUUCUACAAUUAUUAUAACUACUAGUUAUAUGUGUAAUCUGUUGGGAGAAGAAUAAUAAGCAAAAUAGUAUGACUAAAGAACUUCGUACAUGUAUAUAAAUUGUAAUGGCCAUCGGGUUGAGAAUUAGGUUAUCAUGUCGAGAACUUAGAAAAUUGGUAUUUUAACGUGACAAAAUGACAAGUAAAUAUUUCUACUUAAACUAG
Long non-coding RNA from Hylaeus anthracinus, 7649 nucleotides. RefSeq lists it as uncharacterized. Lineage: Eukaryota; Metazoa; Arthropoda; Insecta; Hymenoptera; Colletidae. The record is from RefSeq and is a predicted model, not a curated record. The transcript has 2 exons.